This 505-nucleotide ribosomal RNA is filed under the name uncultured bacterium. Its description in RNAcentral is "partial 16S ribosomal RNA". It matches the Rfam family "Bacterial small subunit ribosomal RNA", at positions 28 to 507 of the family's 1533-position model. The record is from RNAcentral.
GACGAACGCUGGCGGCGUGCCUAAUACAUGCAAGUCGAACGCACAGUUUAUACCGUAGCUUGCUACACCAUAAACUGUGAGUUGCGAACGGGUGAGUAACGCGUAGGUAACCUGCCUGGUAGCGGGGGAUAACUAUUGGAAACGAUAGCUAAUACCGCAUAAUAUUAAUUAUUGCAUGAUAAUUGAUUGAAAGAUGCAAUUGCAUCACUACCAGAUGGACCUGCGUUGUAUUAGCUAGUAGGUGAGGUAACGGCUCACCUAGGCGACGAUACAUAGCCGACCGGGGAGGGUGAUCGGUCACACUGGGACUGAGACACGGCCCAGAAUCCUACGGGAGGCAGCAGUAGGGAAUCUUCGGCAAUGGACGAAAGUCUGAACGAGCAACGCCGCGUUAGUGAAGAAGGUUUUCGGAUCGGAAAGAUCUGUUGUAAGAGAAGAACGGGUGUGAGAGUGGAAAGUUCACACUGUGACGGUAUCUUACCAGAAAGGGACGGCUAACUACGUG